CUGAAUUUCGGGUCGGCGCUCGUGAUCGUUUUAAUAAGUAGGAUACGAUUCGGACACGUGAACCUGGGCAAAAUUGAAGUAGCCUAAACGGCGUUGCUGGUUCGAUUUUCAUAACUUCGGUAAAUAUUAAAAAAUGGUACGUAGCAAAGCGCUCCCGAUACGUAGCGGUAGCGAUUGCGAUCGUAAACGUGUCAAGUGAUUUGCCGUUUCCGUUUUUGACAUAUGUAGAGGUUAUGGUGUCUUUUUUUUCGGCUGUUUCGAAGUACCUACUACAGCAGAAAUUAGUAGAAACGGACGUUAUGGACAUUUUAAUUCAAAACGAAAUGACGGAGGAUAAUUUGGUCAAAUGGCUUUAGAAUUAGCAGAACCAGUUCGAAUAUUUGAGGAUAAUGAAGGUGCUAGGUCUGUCCAAUAUCAAAAAAUGGCAAGCAUUACGAAAACUAAGUUACCACAACAUCUAGGACGUUUCGGAGCAGCGAGACAUUUGAUAUGUUUAAAAGAGGUGCUAGAAGAAGAGCUACCACACCUGGAAGUAGAUAUUGCAGAUGAGGGUGGAAAUGAGGAGAGGAAC
Molecule: long non-coding RNA, 571 nt
Organism: Cylas formicarius (sweet potato weevil)
Lineage: Eukaryota; Metazoa; Arthropoda; Insecta; Coleoptera; Brentidae
Exons: 3
Source: RefSeq, a predicted model, not a curated record